RNAcentral lists this long non-coding RNA (1559 nucleotides) under Mus musculus (house mouse). Its description in RNAcentral is "long non-coding RNA chr1:172513248-172514807". Lineage: Eukaryota; Metazoa; Chordata; Mammalia; Rodentia; Muridae. The record is from RNAcentral.
GACAGAGAGCCGGAGGCAUUGCUCCUGGAUCCUGCUUCUGUGGGUUUCUGUGCUCAAAGCAGUCUGACCUUCUCAGACCUCUCUCAGAUAGCCCCAGCAACAGAAGCCACUACGACCACCAAGACAAUACCCAAGAGGUGUGCUUUCAAGACACUUGGAUAUGUAUUGAUCCCAGAGAGGCUUGUAACCUCCUGGUAAGGCUUUAGUACUUCAUAUCCUUUGGAGAGAGCAGAAAGGCAGAAGCUUAUGGAGUACGAGUGAUUUGCCUGGAGUCCUAGGGUUUCUGGGAACAGAAAAGCUAUGCGUUACAUACAGAUCUCCUGUUCGCUUCUGGUUCUCAGAACCAAAAGUGUUGCAACCAGAAGGAGCUCAGAGCUCAGGAGUUUGAACUGGCUCUGUGUGAACUAAAAUCCAGAUGCCUAGACUCUGGUCACCAAUCAGUUGAUAUUGAAAGUCAAGUGCCCUCAGGGAUGGGACUGGCUUUAGACCUCAAGGAACACAGGAUGGCGUGUUCUCCUAACCACCAGGAGUUCCAAGUGGCUAAACACGUCUGUUGUCAAAAUGAUAUCCUCCAGCACGGGGUGAGGAAUGCAGAUCCCAGAAGGCUUAUUAGAUCUGUAGACCCGGAUCCUGGCUGGGGAUUGAACCGCAUCUCAAACGGACUCUUCAAUCUUUAGGCAACAUGUCCCAGAAGACUGGAAAACGUUUCUCUAACAAGAAAACUGAGGUCUUGAAAGGGCCCCGGCCUGAGCCAGAAACAGUUGUCCCUACCCCCUCAACCCUAGCUCUGUUUGGUGACUGUGGUGGGGUUGCCAGGGGAACCAGGCUGUGCAACUUCCUGGCUUUGGCGUUUUUCCCCGAUGUUGGCCUUAUCUCGGCAUCCGCCACCCAGUCCAGGGCUGCGUGCUGGUCACGUAGGAGGGGAAGUGGGUGCCAGGCGUAUUGAGGACACCAAGAGAACACUGGCCCAAGUAUCAGAUGGGCAGGAGGGUGGUGAAUGGGAAGUUCGAGAGGUCCAGGAGGGUGGGCACGGGUUCAUUAAUGUCUUUCUCUAUGGCUUGGGAGGUUCCUGGCAAAUGAGGAUGUGAAGAAUUGUGACUAGUCAGGGGCUUUUUCUGCCCUAACUCUCAGCUCUCAGCUCUCUCACAGCCGGAUCCCAGCAUCACCUGCAUGUCUGCUCCACUCCAGACCUACAGUCUCCAGCCCCAAGCACACCCAGUGGUCCCUACCCCAACACCAUCAACCCUGCUUCUGAAGUUCUAUGCACUUCGGCUCUUUCUGCCUGGUUCAAGAUUACUUUCUGUGUUUUGUGUUUCUCCUUUCUCCCCAUUGCAGUUCAGUCUCUUGGGCAGUCAUGAAGAACAGGAAAGAGAAAAGGGGGGUUUUUGAAGACAGAUGGAACGCAGCUAGCAGUUUAAGUGAAGUAAUUCGUGCAUUUAAGCAUUUAUUUAUGUUUUGAGCCUUAUUUUGAUUUGAAAAGAAUUUAGGGUGGUUUGGAGAAUUUAAGUGUUCCAGGAAAGGCGGCGAGUGAUGCAACUUUCAAGCUUCAUACAGUUUAG